GAUCAUGGCUCAGAUUGAACGCUGGCGGCAGGCUUAACACAUGCAAGUCGAACGGUAACAGGAGAAAGCUUGCUUUCUUGCUGACGAGUGGCGGACGGGUGAGUAAUGCUUGGGAAUCUGGCUUAUGGAGGGGGAUAACGACGGGAAACUGUCGCUAAUACCGCGUAGAAUCGAGAGAUGAAAGUGCGGGACCUUCGGGCCGCAUGCCAUAGGAUGAGCCCAAGUGGGAUUAGGUAG
Molecule: ribosomal RNA, 237 nt
Filed under: uncultured bacterium
Lineage: Bacteria
Description: partial 16S ribosomal RNA
Rfam family: Bacterial small subunit ribosomal RNA
Source: RNAcentral